CCCUUAGAUGUCCUGGGCCGCACGCGCGCUACACUGAUGCAUUCAACGAGUUCACCUUGGCCGAGAGGCCUGGGCAAUCUUUUGAACGUGCAUCGUGAUAGGGAUAGAUUAUUGUAAUUUUUAAUCUUGAACGAGGAAUUCCUAGUAAACGCAGAUCAUCAAUCUGCAUUGAUUACGUCCCUGCCCUUUGUACACACCGCCCGUCGCACCUACCGAUUGAAUGGUCCGGUGAAGCCUCGGGAUUGUGAUAAGUUCCCUUUAUUGGGAGUUUGUCGCGAGAACUUGUCUAAACCUUAUCAUUUAGAGGAAGGUGAAGUCGUANCA
Molecule: ribosomal RNA, 324 nt
Filed under: uncultured eukaryote
Lineage: Eukaryota
Description: partial 18S ribosomal RNA
Rfam family: Eukaryotic small subunit ribosomal RNA
Source: RNAcentral